Long non-coding RNA from Carassius carassius (crucian carp), 958 nucleotides. RefSeq lists it as uncharacterized. The record is from RefSeq and is a predicted model, not a curated record. Lineage: Eukaryota; Metazoa; Chordata; Actinopteri; Cypriniformes; Cyprinidae. The transcript is spliced from 10 exons.
GCGGUUUAGGUUGUUGAACUGGCUUCUGAAGCUGAAACUGCGGUUUAGGUUGUUGAACUGGCUUCUGAAGCUGAAACUGCGGUUUAGGUUGUUGAACUGGCUUCUGAAGCGGAAACUGCUGCGGAAACUGCUGGUAAAUUGGUUGUUGAACCGGCUUCUGAAGCGGAAACUGCGGUUUAGUUUAUUGAACUGGCUUCUGAAGCGGAAACUGCUGGUAAGUUGGUUGUUGAACCGGCUUCUGAAACGGAAACUGCAGUUUAGGUUGUUGUUGAACCGGCUUCUGAAACGGAAACUGCGGUUUAGGUUGUUGAACCGGCUUCUGAAACGGAAACUGCGGUUUAGGUUGUUGAACUGGCUUCUGAAGCGGAAACUGCUGGUAAAUUGUUUGUUGAACUGGCUUCUGAAGCGGAAACUGCUGGUAAGUUGGUUGUUGAACUGGCUUCUGAAGCGGAAACUGCGGUUUAGGUUGUUGAACUGGCUUCUGAAGCGGAAACUGCUGGUAAGUUGGUUGUUGAACCGGCUUCUGAAGCGGAAACUGCGGUUUAGGUUGUUGUUGAACUGGCUUCUGAAGCGGAAACUGCGGUUUAGGUUGUUGUUGAACUGGCUUCUGAAGCGGAAACUGCUGGUAAGUUGGUUGUUGAACCAGCUUCUGAAGCGGAAACUGCGGUUUAGGUUGUUGAACCGGCUUCUGAAGCGGAAACUGCGGUUUAGGUUGUUGUUGAACUGGCUUCUGAAGCGGAAACUGCUGGUAAGUUGGUUGUUGAACCGGCUUCUGAAGCGGAAACUGCGGUUUAGGUUGUUGUUGAACUGGCUUCUGAAGCUGAAACUGCUGGGUCAUCAGAGACUGAACAUCCUGAAGCGAUUUACUCCAGUUUGGAACAGCAUGACAGAAAGCACAAACCAGCAAAAUCUGAAGCAAACACCAACUUCCAGCCAUUGUUCAACAGCUAAACACAAA